CGCCGCUAGACUGCGCACGCGCGCCGCCGCCGCCGCCGAGCACUUGCCUUCGCGAAGGCCCAGUUUCCAAUAAAUGUGUCCUGCACGCCAUGCCGUCUGUUUCCAGGACAACCCCGGUGCCUCUUAGCAACCGCGCGUGCUGUCUGGGUCCUUUCCUGGCGCCCCCAGCCCUCCCAUGGCGGCCCCGGGUCCCAGUGUCUUCCUGCUUAUGGUCAACGGGCAGGUGGAGAGCGCCCAGUUUCCUGAGUACGAUGACCUCUACUGCAAGUACUGCUUUGUGUAUGGCCAGGACUGGGCUCCCACAGCGGGUCUGGAGGAGGGCAUUUCCCAGAUCACAUCCAAGAGCCAAGAUGUGCGGCAAGCGCUGGUGUGGAACUUCCCCAUCGACGUCACCUUCAAAAGCACCAACCCGUAUGGCUGGCCACAGAUUGUGCUCAGCGUGUACGGACCGGACGUGUUUGGGAAUGAUGUGGUACGAGGCUACGGGGCAGUGCAUGUGCCUUUCUCACCCGGCAGGCACAAAAAGACCAUCCCCAUGUUUGUCCCAGAAUCCACGUCUAAAUUGCAGAAGUUUACAAGGAAGGAGAAUUCUUUUAGGAGCUGCACAGAGAGGCCUCCCCCCGACCCGCCUCCACCUCCACAGCCCAGAGGACAGGCCUGAAAACCUCCCAGGUGGGAAGCUGCUGGAAUCCCAGCAUUCUGGUCUCACAGCAGGAGAGGAAGGUCCUGGCCUUUGCCAUACUCUCCAGCAUCAGGACACCUCCUGCAUCUCUGCCUGGAAAGGGGUUUCUCCUUCAGUUGGUGCACCUCCUCUGAGCACAGGUCCUGAGAAGGGACGGGCCCUCCGUCCCGUCAGCUAUGCCACAGUAAAGUGCACGAGCCACCCAAGAACUAUCUCGAAUGACCAGGUUGGCUGGGCAGCUCCUCAAGGAACAGCCCUCUGGGCACAGGCACAGAAGAGGAAGCAGAGGCGGGCAGGCACUGAAGACGCGGCCUGGAACUGUCAUUGUCCCUCAUUCUAAGCGUCUCGUGGCUAUGCCCGAAGUCCACAGAUGAAGUGCCACCAACGACCCCACCAAUGACAAGGCCACAGUGAGAGAGAUGAGUAUUUUUAAGUCUGCAACGUGUCUGGAGUUGGCAGCUGAGUGGGCCAGGGAUCCCCCAGGGAGCCACAGGCACAGAAGCACCGCCGCUCUCCAGCGCCCGCCAUCUCCGUGCUAUCCCCACCUUCCCCUGAGAGUGGAUUGGGACAGAGGAAGUCAGACACACGGCUC
Non-coding RNA from Manis javanica (Malayan pangolin), 1274 nucleotides. NCBI's taxonomy places the organism in Eukaryota, Metazoa, Chordata, Mammalia, Pholidota, Manidae. The record is from RefSeq and is a predicted model, not a curated record.